RNAcentral lists this ribosomal RNA (563 nucleotides) under Penicillium sp. CBRF65. Its description in RNAcentral is "eukaryotic LSU rRNA". The stretch from base 178 to 330 matches the Rfam family "5.8S ribosomal RNA". Lineage: Eukaryota; Fungi; Ascomycota; Eurotiomycetes; Eurotiales; Aspergillaceae. The record is from RNAcentral.
GGGAUUAGGUUCGUAGGUGACCUGCGGAGGAUCAUUACCGAGUGUGGGCCCCUCGGGGCCCAACCUCCCACCCGUGUUGCCCGAACCUAUGUUGCCUCGGCGGGUCCCGCGCCCGCCGACGGCCCCCCUGAACGCUGUCUGAAGUUGCAGUCUGAGACCUAUAACGAAAUUAGUUAAAACUUUCAACAACGGAUCUCUUGGUUCCGGCAUCGAUGAAAAACGCUCGAAAUGCGAUAACUAAUGUGAAUUGCAAAAUUCAAUGAAUCAUGUAGUCUUUGAACGCACAUUGCGCCCUCUGGUAUUCCGGAGGGCAUGCCUGUCCGAGCGUCAUUGCUGCCCUCAAGCCCGGCUUGUGUGUUGGGCCCCGUCCCCCCCGCCGGGGGGACGGGCCCGAAAGGAAGCGGCGGCACCGCGUCCGGUCCUCGAGCGUAUGGGGCUUCGUCACCCGCUCUAAUAGGCCCGGCCGGCGCCAGCCGACCCCCAACCUUUAAUUAUCUCAGGUUGACCUCGGAUCAGGUAGGGAUACCCGCUGAACUUAAGCAUAUCAAUAAACGUAGGAAUAU